Molecule: long non-coding RNA, 218 nt
Organism: Ostrinia furnacalis (Asian corn borer)
Lineage: Eukaryota; Metazoa; Arthropoda; Insecta; Lepidoptera; Crambidae
Exons: 4
Source: RefSeq, a predicted model, not a curated record
AGGGAAGAUGGACACCACUCCGCGUUCGCUAGCUAUAGCCCUCCAACCCCAGAAAAGGCAGAGAACAAGUCGUUACAAGAUGCCCACACCUUUAAUAAUGUGCCACCACCACUGGAUAAUGGCACGAAUUUGCUUAGGACUUUAUUAAAAAUUAGCGAAGAUGAAGAUUCAUCUAAGAAGAAGAGUAAUAAGACAACUACUGAUACAAAUUGGCGAGC